This 253-nucleotide unclassified non-coding RNA is filed under the name uncultured fungus. RNAcentral's name for it is "partial contains small subunit ribosomal RNA, internal transcribed spacer 1, and 5.8S ribosomal RNA". The stretch from base 1 to 73 matches the Rfam family "Eukaryotic small subunit ribosomal RNA", at positions 1759 to 1831 of the family's 1831-position model. The record is from RNAcentral. Lineage: Eukaryota; Fungi.
GCAAACUUGGUCAUUUAGAGGAAGUAAAAGUCGUAACAAGGUCUCCGUUGGUGAACCAGCGGAGGGAUCAUUAUAGAGUAACAACUCUCCAACCCUAGCCUAUAUUACUUUAGUGUACUGCCUCGGCGGGGGAGCUCUGCGAGCCCGCCGUUGGUAGAAAUAAAUUCUUUAUAUCUGAACUCAUGAUUAAAAGCAAAUAAUCAAAACUUUCAACAACGGAUCUCUUGGUUCUGGCAUCGAUGAAGAACGCAGC